This 626-nucleotide unclassified non-coding RNA is filed under the name Hevea brasiliensis (rubber tree). The record is from RNAcentral. Lineage: Eukaryota; Viridiplantae; Streptophyta; Magnoliopsida; Malpighiales; Euphorbiaceae.
GUCAGGAAUACAAGUGGCAUGCCCAGAGUUGGAAAUCCCUGCAUUGCCAGGAGCACAGAAGACAGCAUCACAAGAGGGAGAUCGUUGCAAUGCAUAACAAAGUGCAUGUUCUCUUCCCCCUCCACCAAUAACCAACACAAUCACUCUCUCUUCAGAAGCACCGUUUCCAUGGGCAUUAAUCGAAACUGACGGCUCUGAUUUUUGGGAAACACACUUAAACACGGAGGAAAACGACCUAUAGCCCUUUAUUACAUGGCGGAAAUAACAAUGAUUUUUGCUGUGACUGGAAAUCAAGGGCCCCGGAAAGAAGAAAGAAGAAGAGGAGUUGCCAAAGAAGCAAGAGAGACUGUUUGAUAAUGGCAAAGAGUUGGCGUUGGUGGAGUUGCCAUUGAGUUUCAGAGAAGGUAUCCGGUUUACAGUAACACAAGACAUCUCUAUUUUGUCCUCAAAAAAUACCCCCUGGAAUCCCAAGAAUUCUCAGCUCUGGCACUAGAAUUUGGAGGACGAGAAGGAAAAAGAAAGACAUGGAUUUUUAGGCUGUCGUCUAAGGCCUUUUAUGGACAAAACCUCCAGAAAGGAGCAGUGACGAGUGAGGGAGUGACGAGUAUGCAUAAAAGGGAGGAGAA